This 253-nucleotide ribosomal RNA is filed under the name uncultured bacterium. Its description in RNAcentral is "partial 16S ribosomal RNA". It matches the Rfam family "Bacterial small subunit ribosomal RNA", at positions 524 to 776 of the family's 1533-position model. The record is from RNAcentral.
UACGAAGGGGGCUAGCGUUGCUCGGAAUCACUGGGCGUAAAGCGCACGUAGGCGGAUCUUUAAGUCAGGGGUGAAAUCCUGGAGCUCAACUCCAGAACUGCCUUUGAUACUGGGGAUCUCGAGUCCGGGAGAGGUGAGUGGAACUGCGAGUGUAGAGGUGAAAUUCGUAGAUAUUCGCAAGAACACCCGUGGCGAAGGCGGUUCUCUGGGACGGUACUGACGCUGAGACGCGAAAGCGUGGGGAGCGAACAGG